AACGAACGCUGGCGGCAGGCUUAACACAUGCAAGUCGAGCGCGUAGCAAUACGAGCGGCAGACGGGUGAGUAACGCGUGGGAAUCUACCGUACCCUACGGAAUAGCUCUGGGAAACUGGAAGUAAUACCGUAUACGCCCUAACGGGGAAAGAUUUAUCGGGGUAUGAUGAGCCCGCGUUGGAUUAGCUAGUUGGUGGGGUAAAGGCCUACCAAGGCGACGAUCCAUAGCUGGUCUGAGAGGAUGAUCAGCCACAUUGGGACUGAGACACGGCCCAAACUCCUACGGGAGGCAGCAGUGGGGAAUAUUGGACAAUGGGCGCAAGCCUGAUCCAGCCAUGCCGCGUGAGUGAUGAAGGUCUUAGGAUUGUAAAGCUCUUUCACCGAUGAAGAUAAUGACGGUAGUCGGAGAAGAAGCCCCGGCUAACUUCGUGCCAGCCGCCGCGGUAA
Molecule: ribosomal RNA, 447 nt
Filed under: uncultured bacterium
Lineage: Bacteria
Description: partial 16S ribosomal RNA
Rfam family: Bacterial small subunit ribosomal RNA
Source: RNAcentral